Molecule: transfer RNA, 72 nt
Filed under: Mycosphaerella sp. Ston1
Lineage: Eukaryota; Fungi; Ascomycota; Dothideomycetes; Mycosphaerellales; Mycosphaerellaceae
Description: tRNA-Gly (CCC) (tRNA-Gly-CCC-1-1)
Rfam family: tRNA
About the family: Transfer RNA (tRNA) molecules are approximately 80 nucleotides in length.
Source: RNAcentral
GGCGUGGUAGUGUAGUGGUCAACACGUCGGUUCCCCAAUCCGAAGGCACGAGUUCGAAUCUUGUCCGCGCCA